UGCCUGGUUUUGGUCUCCUCUGCUGUGUCUCUCCGUGGUGCUGGUGCUGUCUGUGGAGCCAGCCCCGUGCCUGACCAGCCGUGAGUUUCUGAGUUCCCUUCUCACCGCUGAGCCGGGUGAGGCGGCAGGUUUUGCCUCUGCCUGGGCUCAGAGCUGCUAUGUGGAUGUACAACGUCCUGCAGAAAGAUAUGCUGCUCCUGCAGUCUAUCGCUCUCAAGAUGAACGCGAAGAGGGUUUGUAGGUUCAGAAUAGCUCCACUGCAGGGGCUCAAGUGGUCCCACUCUUAGGAGGAAAUCCCAAUUCCACAAACCCAGCUCCUGCUGUUACAUGAGCUGACACCGCGACAAAACAGUGACAGGAAACGAAAUGAUAGGAAAUGAGCACAGAGCCCCGGCUGUUCUUUUGCUCUCCAGAUGUUCCCUUAAAGAUCAAACCCUUUCUGAGAGAUCCUGCGGGAUCUUUGAACUGUUAGAGAAAUUUGAAGUCAGUGUGUGAGUAAACCCCAUGUUUCACAUUCUCUGGGAGGAAACGUGGGAUUCAUCUCAGUGAAGACGGUGCCGAAUAGUGGUAGAUUGAGAUCCAGCACAAAGACUGGCUUGUUACUCUGCAAUGCGUGUGCUGGGAGAAAGUGGAAGGAACCUCACCUUGCCCAGCUGUCCCUGCUGGGUACUGACAGGGUGCCUCCAGUGGGUGCGAGAGAAGAGGAGCAAUGACAGUGACAUUUUGCCUGAUAUUUUGGGAGCUCCAGAGCUGACUGUAUGAGCUGCCAUAGCACAAGCUCCAGCACCACGACUCCCAAGUGGAUUUGUUCCAUCUGCUUCAGGCUGGUAAUGCACCACCCGUGGGACCCUGUCAUCAGCUUUUCCCUCAGCUCCUAGAACUCAUGCAGUGCACGCUGCUGGCCUGUGAAGUACCCAGUGGAGGGCGUUUUCCUUGGGUAGAUCUUUGCCUCCUAGCGCCUUUAAGAGUCUCAGGUGGGAUGGUGGCACCACCGGAUCCCAUGGCUCGCUGAUGUUUUCAUGUGCUGGGAUUCACCUCCAGGAAGAGAUCUAAGAAAGCAUCGUUAAAAAUCUGCAUAAGCUUAUGGGAGCCAGAACAUAUGGGAGCAGAAAGUUGACUGGAAAAUGGCUCACAUAUGUACGCUGCCACUGCCCUUACUGCUGUCUUUGUUGGUCCCUGGAGAGGUGCUGGGAGAGUACAACAGUUGCUGACAGUGAAAAGCAAGAGAAGAGAAGGGAUGCAUUUAUCAGGGAAAGAUGCAGUCAUGACUCUGGCUUGGCAUGAUAAACAGCAUGCGCUGCUCAGAGAUCGGAUUGCAGACAGGUCAAAUUCCCCUGCUCUCUCCCCUGCUUGCUCCUGGAUUCCGCUGCGAUUGAUGCGAACCAGCCUGGUUCUGUGUGCCCUCCUCACAGCUGGGGUCUGCGGGGCUGCAGUGAGCUUGGGAGCAGGGACAGUUUGGGGUUGGGAAGAGACCGAACUGGGAUUUUUCUGAUGCCAAAAGUUCCUGAUCUCAUUGGUAUAGAUAAUGUCAGUGUUUAUAGAUGUAUAAAUGAUUAUGGGGGUGGAGAAAUGGGGGGAUCCUUGGUAGGGACUAGGAGGGGUCUGCGGUGAGGUGGGGGCUUCUGAAAUGGUAGAGGCUUGGGAGUGUGCUCAGGAGAAGAUGGCAGCACUGGCUUGAAAUAUGUUGUCACAGUCUGGAGCAGGUAAGGUUGCUGGGUUUAAGGUCUAAGACAGAAGAGAGAGAAUGUGUCUCACAAAGGAUUGAAGGAGCGUAUUUUGGGGAUAUUCGAGCAACUGUCCCUCCCCCGUCCUGUGCACUUGAUUGCACAUGACAGUCAGUUUUGCUGAUGGAAAUGCGGUGGCUUUGUUUUCUGCCCCACCUUCAACUCCUUGCCUUUUUACUUGUCCGCACAGUAUUAUAUAUCCUGUGGCAUCAUAUAAUUAAAAUAGAUGAUUAUGCAGAUGCAAAUGAAUCCCUACGGAAACCUAGCACAUGGACAAAACACCACGAGCAAGUUCUAACUGAUUAUGCAGCUACA
Cygnus olor (mute swan) is the source of this 2039-nucleotide long non-coding RNA. RefSeq lists it as uncharacterized. The transcript has 5 exons. NCBI's taxonomy places the organism in Eukaryota, Metazoa, Chordata, Aves, Anseriformes, Anatidae. The record is from RefSeq and is a predicted model, not a curated record.